UUGAUUGUUUUAAUUCAACUUGACUUUAGCAAUAAAGGUAGUAAAUGGACCCAGCAGUUGUUCUGGAGCAGUACAGGUUCUUCAUGAGAGACAGUGGGGCGCAGUGUGUCAUGACAGUUGGGAUGAAACCGAUGCCUCUGUGGUUUGCAGAGAGCUGGAAUGCAGUGGAUAUGUGGAGGCAAAGCCGAAUGCCUUUUUUGGUCAGGUGGUGCAACAGACAUGGAUGAAAAACGUUAAUUGCAAUGGAAGUGAGAAUUCACUUGUGCAAUGUGCCUCUGAAUUAGGAAACAACCUCUGUGGUCCUGAAAGUCAUGCAGGAGUCGUAUGUGAAGAAGUGACUUAUAAAUUUACAAUGAGAAUUAAGGUGACAAGUGACCCUGCAGUAGACCUAAAUGACCUUGUCUUCAGAAAGGUCAUUUUGGAAAAGAUAACGGAGAAGCUACAAGCACAGGGAAAUUUCACCCUCAGAUGGAAAACUAUGUCCAAUGGAAACAUCUUCCAGCUGAAAUAAGUUAUUAAGGCCUGAUAAGUUUAUAGUUGUACGUGUAAAGGCAUACUCUUAAUUAACUAAAUCCCAUCAGGUGUACGUCUUUCUACAGGUCAGAUAUAGUAGAAAAAUAAAGCUUAUAUGCCCAAUCCGUUACAUAGAUGUAAGAUUGUUGUGAGCUAUUUAAAACAUUGCAGUAAGCCUAUAGCAGGAACAUAUCUUUAUUUACAUGACCUUUGCAUUAUUGUAAGCCUCUUAACAUAACUUAUUAACAUAGCAUGAUUAGAACAGUCAUAAAUGUAAAAUCGUGUUUUAGAUGAGCUUAUCAUUUUAUGAAAUCAUUUUAGCUAGCAAAACAAUUAUAUUGUUAUUGUGAUUACUGCUUUAAAACGGUUUUUAUUAAUUAAG
Non-coding RNA from Paramisgurnus dabryanus, 895 nucleotides. Lineage: Eukaryota; Metazoa; Chordata; Actinopteri; Cypriniformes; Cobitidae. The record is from RefSeq and is a predicted model, not a curated record.